CUGAAUUAAAUAGUUGCACUUCGUAUAUCCUCGAUAAUAUGGUUCGAAAGUUUCUACCGGGACACCGUAAAUGUCCUGACUAUGAAGGCAUGAAUUCGUGGU
RNAcentral lists this non-coding RNA (102 nucleotides) under Ornithinibacillus halophilus. RNAcentral describes it as "Guanine sequence". It matches the Rfam family "Purine riboswitch aptamer". From Rfam's summary of the family: Riboswitches are metabolite binding domains within certain messenger RNAs that serve as precision sensors for their corresponding targets. Allosteric rearrangement of mRNA structure is mediated by ligand binding, and this results in modulation of gene expression. A class of riboswitches that selectively recognises guanine and becomes saturated at concentrations as low as 5 nM. Lineage: Bacteria; Bacillati; Bacillota; Bacilli; Caryophanales; Bacillaceae. The record is from Rfam by way of RNAcentral.